This 190-nucleotide long non-coding RNA is filed under the name Theropithecus gelada (gelada). RNAcentral describes it as "lncRNA (ENSTGEG00000012230.1)". The record is from RNAcentral. Lineage: Eukaryota; Metazoa; Chordata; Mammalia; Primates; Cercopithecidae.
AUCUUUGGAGGUCUGUCUUCCCUUUGGGCUCUGUGCAACUGCAGCUACAGUGGAAAAAAGCAAACUACUCUUGAUCCCAGGAGGCCCUGCCUAAGCCUCAGCAGAACUUGUAAGCCUAAACUGAAGAGCCUCACCCGGAGGAGCAGGCAUCCCUUAACCUUAAGCAAGCCACUUCCACGCCCUGGAUCAG